CGUCUGCAUUCUAAAGUGCCAAAGUUUUCAGACACUCCACAGCACAUCCAGUUGAGGCUGCCGUAAUUAUAACCAUGACCAUAUUGUUGCAAAGUUUUGAUCAUUAUUGAAUUGUUUGAUUAUACAUAGUGAGCAUUUGGCAAAUGAGUCCGUUCACGCCAAAGUUUCCUUUUGUUUCUCAAUUGCCUAUAUGGGUUUUCCGUCAUGUAAACGCGGAUGAGACAAAGCAGUCCAUAUUGAGGAAAUGUUGGAGACCAAACACCCCAUGUGCAUUAGAUUUUAUGUCUCCCUUAUUUACCCAAAAAUUCAGUGCUUUAAGAAGAUUGUGUGCUGUGUCUGGGUCAAAAUCAAUAAUAAAUGUCACCACGGCAAGGCUUUUCAAGUACAGUUAUGAUGCCACCUCUGCUCUGGAAGAAUCCAUUGACAAAACAAGUACUUAACAAAGCAAAAAGAAUUCCAAUCUAUGCUAGGAUUGGCCUGGAUCAUAGUUCCAGGUUCAACAGCGAAGAAAGUUAAUUAAGAUUGAUAACUUUUAAUCUCUUCGUUCAACAUGUUCUACAGCCAUUCUCUUACUACUACGUGAAAAGCAAGAUUAUUGAGCAAGACCAAACUCUAGAAUCUGCACGUCACGACCGACAUCGGCGAGAAUGCUGUAAAACGCAUCUUUACCGCUAAAACGAACAUUUGGGGGAAAACAAUUGGCUCUGGUGAUGAAUUACAUGCAGUGAAGGAAUCUAAUACGUGACACUAAUGAAGCCCCCAUCAAAUGAACUGUUGCUGCAGUUUGACCAAAAAUGGAAUUCAAAAGCCCCUUCAUCACGAAUUAUACCAUAUGAGAACUGUAGGUACUAGGUGGGUGACGGAGAACCAAAUACCGCCGCAGCUGGUAUUCCCUGGGUCUUUUACGUUUAUUCCCGACUGGCUGUGAAUGCAGGUGGAGCUGAAAUGGCCAUC
Long non-coding RNA from Daphnia pulicaria, 954 nucleotides. RefSeq lists it as uncharacterized. The transcript is spliced from 3 exons. The record is from RefSeq and is a predicted model, not a curated record. NCBI's taxonomy places the organism in Eukaryota, Metazoa, Arthropoda, Branchiopoda, Diplostraca, Daphniidae.